UACUUACCUUUGUCUCCGGCUGGGAUUGAAAAGCGAACCUUUUGCCUCCAUCCCUCUUGUCCCUCCUGGUCCUUCUAACCCACUCUUUAAAAUCGGAAGAUCUGCGGUGAGGAAUAAGGUCUGAGGGGCCCCUUUACUCUGCCACAUCGACUCCGCUUUCCUCCGACUGUGUGGCUGAGCUCUUUGAUCCUUUGAAUGAUGUUUUGAUAUUUUCCCAGAGAAAAUACCCUGCGCGGGAAGGCGGGGGUUGAAUUCAGUCCUCACAUCUAAUGAAAGUACAAGGCCUGAUUGAAUCUAAUAGUGCCCAGAAGUAAACGACAACGGGCCAAGAUUUUGACACGGUGCAAAACUGACUUUCAUCAUUGUUAGAAUCGUUAAAUCUUGGGAAAUGGUUUGGCAACCUCCAAAUAAGAAGCAAGGGAAACGACGUCAGAUGACUUCAUCUAAGUACAGACCAUCCACUUGCGCAGUUCCUAUACGUGGUUGCAUUUUUACGUGAAACAGAUUUCCUUUGUCCACAUGAGUGGGGUGGAAACGGGUACAUUGUGAAUGGAGAAAUUCAUCACAAGAAAACGGAGACCUCUUCAAUUAAUAGCAACUUCGGUCUAGACUAUGGUCUUGGAGUAAGUACAGGUUCUGGACAGUCACCUUCAUGUAUGGAGUCCGUACAGGCAAAGAUCAUGGAAGUGGUGAGAUACCAAGGUAGUGACAAUACACUCACCAGAGUAGUAAAUAAUAACACAUUUAGAGUAAUUUUCAGCAAAAAGGUUGAAAACAAAAGAGGCUUUUUUUUGGUUGACUGUGUUUACUGGGGAAAAUAACUUGUUAAAACAUUUAAGUGAAUUAUUUAAAAUUUUUUUAUUUUGGGAAAUUUUAAGUCAUGCAGUGUGAUUCAAAGAAGGAAGAUGAUCCUGUAUGCCUCUCUUAAUUUGGUGCUUGUUUCUUCAUUUUAAAAUUUCCAUAACCUACUUUACUUAAAUGACAAAUUUUUUUGGCUUUGCUUCCUGGAAUCCAUGUAUGUAUAACUGACCAUUGUUCUAUGCUGCCUUACACAGGAAAAAAAUAGGGUUCUGAUUACAAAAUGGGCUUUGUUUAUGGUAGCAUUUUUUUAAGGCAAAAUAAAAUUUGAUCUUACA
Molecule: long non-coding RNA, 1136 nt
Organism: Neofelis nebulosa (Clouded leopard)
Lineage: Eukaryota; Metazoa; Chordata; Mammalia; Carnivora; Felidae
Exons: 2
Source: RefSeq, a predicted model, not a curated record